AUAGAAAUAUAAAAUUAAUCGUAUAACCCUAAUGAUAUGGUUUAGGGGUCUCUACCAGAAACCGAUAAUUUCUGAUUACGAAGAAGACUUAU
Molecule: non-coding RNA, 92 nt
Filed under: human gut metagenome
Description: Purine riboswitch
Rfam family: Purine riboswitch aptamer
About the family: Riboswitches are metabolite binding domains within certain messenger RNAs that serve as precision sensors for their corresponding targets. Allosteric rearrangement of mRNA structure is mediated by ligand binding, and this results in modulation of gene expression. A class of riboswitches that selectively recognises guanine and becomes saturated at concentrations as low as 5 nM.
Source: RNAcentral